Molecule: long non-coding RNA, 1802 nt
Organism: Panicum virgatum (switchgrass)
Lineage: Eukaryota; Viridiplantae; Streptophyta; Magnoliopsida; Poales; Poaceae
Exons: 3
Source: RefSeq, a predicted model, not a curated record
CUCCAUCCCACCGCUCUGGUCCUCCGCGGCCGGACCCCAUCCCGUGCGCCUCCUUCCAAAUCCCUUCCCCCUCAGAUCCGCGGCCCUCUCCUCAACCUCUGUAUCCAAGGAGCUCGAGCACCUCAACAUGCUCAUCCGCCGCAUGAAGUUUGGCGCCGCCGUGGCCCCGGCCCCCGCCCCUCUUCCCGAGCUGAGGUGGCCUUGAGCGGCAUGUCCGAGGAGCAGCUGUAUGGGGAGACGCCGCGCCAAGCCCAUCCUCCUGACUUGCAACUCAAGCCUUCGGCCGUGGAUGGUCUUCACCACGGAGCAGCGGAUCUACGCUUGAAGAUCUCUACUGCAUGAGAUAGACACCAAGGAAUGGAGAUUGCUGCAGAGAAAGCUUGUUCAGAUCAGCCACAUACAUGGUGGAGGUGUUCGUUGGUAAGAUGUUUUGGACUACACUGCUGGUAAGAUGUUCGAUGAAAUGUCCCUAGCACGGUAAGCACCACAAAUUCUGUCAGAGAUAUGCAGCUGGAUGCUCUCUUUGAUUGCAUGCAUAGACAUGGAUUUAAUUUACUUUCACACAAGUUCUUUACCUGCAACCAUAUUUCUGGGAAUGCAAUACUUGUCGUUUAUAUUAACUUCCAUAUAAUGCAUUAAGUUUUAUUGUAGUCACUAAUAAGUUCUGGACAAUUGCCAAAGUAUAUCAUUGUCAUUUUAUUUGCAGUCCCUUGUUCAUCAAUAACAGGUGAAGUUAUAGGUUGUAUAUUUCCUCUAACCAGGAUUAUUUGUUUCUUCUGUUAUAUUUCCUUGUAUGUCAGUUCUCAAUGUCUAUUGCAUGAAAGCAUGCUUCCCUGAGUAGCUAUCAUUGUUUCCAUGUCAAAUCAAAUGCUAGCCUUGAAUGGAAUUUAAGAAAUGUGGAUAAUCAAAUGCUAUAUCGGAUCAGUUCUAUAAUUUGCAAGCAUUGUGUCGUACACAGUGGUAUUCUUUCUUGCUGGUCCACUCAAAUUUAAAUUGUGGCCAAUAUUGGCCAGCAUGGCUUUCCUCUUUGUUUCAACAAUUAGCAUGUCAGAUAUUCAUUCAAAUGUCUAACUGAACCUAUAGAACAAGAAUUCAAAUCUUGCCUUUUCAUGAGAUAGGAAAACAAUAUGCAAAAGAUAGUUAAGCCUUCAUGAUUGUGCAAGACAGUGAAGCCUUACCUCUUGUCAGUAUUGAUCUCAGUUUAUUAUCAGCCUGUAUCUUUGUAGGUUUUCAAUGCAGGAAGUUCUUUAAGCAAGAUGACUCCAAGGUCUUUUCUUGCUUAUGCUGGAAGGGACAAAGGCAAUAAUUUGAACUAGAUUGGCCUUGAUGGUACUGCCUGGAAAAGUCAAGACUUGUGAGAUGCAAAACUUGAGCUUCUGCUAAAUAAAAUUCGUAGUUCUGUGUAUAUAUUUGCUGGAAGCUGUUUUUUUUUUUGUUUUUCAGAAUUGUGAGAUGUGCUAGAUUAACUAGAGUUACACUGAUUUCAUGCUGAAUUAAAACAUAGUAUGGAGCAUAUCUUUUCUUGCAAAAGUUAUUAAUGCAAGUAGUCCUCCAUUCAAAGUUGAUGAUCCUGUGACAUGCUUAUAGAUCAAUGGUUAGCAGGACAAUCCUGUUGCUUACUCAACAGUAACCUACAUGCUUAUAUGGGAAGGCAGAUAAUGUCCUAGAAACCUGCAGUAACUGAUAACAUAGCAGAUCACAUAGACUAGAAUUCGGCAAAAAAGCUAUAAGUUGUCUCAAUUCAUGAAUUGCUAAUUAAGGAACUGCUGGCUAACAAUUGACAGACCAUACACGACGAUAAC